Molecule: ribosomal RNA, 576 nt
Filed under: uncultured eukaryote
Lineage: Eukaryota
Description: partial 18S ribosomal RNA
Rfam family: Eukaryotic small subunit ribosomal RNA
Source: RNAcentral
UUUGUUACUUCAAACCAAUCGGACUUCGGUCUGACAUCAAGUGAUAUUGAACAAUUUAGCUGAUCGCACGGUCUAACAACCGGCRACAUAUCCUUCAAAUGUCUGCCUUAUCAACUUUCKAUGGUAGAUUAUGCGCCUACCAUGGUUGUAACGGGUAACGGASAAUCAGGGUUUGAUUCCGGAGAGGGAGCCUGAGAAACGGCUACCACAUCCAAGGAAGGCAGCAGGCACGCAAAUUACCCACUCCCGGCACGGGGAGGUARUGACGAAAAAUAACAAGCUGGUCUCAAUGAGUUCCRGCRUUGYAAUGGGAACAAUUUAAAUCUUUCAUCSAGGAUCUAUUGGAGGGCAAGUCUGGUGGCMGCRKCCSCGGUAAUUCCAGCUCCMAUASCSYAUAUUAAARUUGUUGCGGUUAAAAAGCUCRWAAUUGGAUCUWKGAAUAKGGCUACRGKCGUUCAKCUUGGACGUACUGUAUGGCCGACUCCUUUUCUCYAGUAUUCKAUUGUUGCUCUUAAAUGAGUGACUUUAGUUGCUGGAACUUUUACCUUGAAAAAAUUGAARUGCUCAAAGCAUGUU